This 539-nucleotide ribosomal RNA is filed under the name uncultured bacterium. RNAcentral describes it as "bacterial SSU rRNA". It matches the Rfam family "Bacterial small subunit ribosomal RNA", at positions 356 to 896 of the family's 1533-position model. The record is from RNAcentral.
GAGGAAUAUUGGUCAAUGGACGGAAGUCUGAACCAGCCAAGUAGCGUGCAGGAUGACGGCCCUAUGGGUUGUAAACUGCUUUUGUAUGGGGAUAAAGUUAGGGACGUGUCCCUAUUUGCAGGUACCAUACGAAUAAGGACCGGCUAAUUCCGUGCCAGCAGCCGCGGUAAUACGGAAGGUCCAGGCGUUAUCCGGAUUUAUUGGGUUUAAAGGGAGCGUGGGCUGGAGAUUAAGUGUGUUGUGAAAUGUAGACGCUCAACGUCUGAAUUGCAGCGCAUACUGGUUUCCUUGAGUACGCACAACGUUGGCGGAAUUCGUCGUGUAGCGGUGAAAUGCUUAGAUAUGACGAAGAACUCCGAUUGCGAAGGCAGCUGACGGGAGCGCAACUGACGCUUAAGCUCGAAGGUGCGGGUAUCAAACAGGAUUAGAUACCCUGGUAGUCCGCACAGUAAACGAUGGAUGCCCGCUGUUGGUACCUGGUAUCAGCGGCUAAGCGAAAGCAUUAAGCAUCCCACCUGGGGAGUACGCCGGCAACGGUG